AAUACCGCAUACGUCCUACGGGAGAAAGCAGGGGACCUUCGGGCCUUGCGCUAUCAGAUGAGCCUAGGUCGGAUUAGCUAGUUGGUGAGGUAAUGGCUCACCAAGGCGACGAUCCGUAACUGGUCUGAGAGGAUGAUCAGUCACACUGGAAGGGAGACACGGUCCAGACUCCUACGGGAGGCAGCAGUGGGGAAUAUUGGACAAUGGGCGAAAGCCUGAUCCAAAAGGGCCGCGUGUGUGAAGAAGGUCUUCGGA
This 255-nucleotide ribosomal RNA is filed under the name uncultured bacterium. Its description in RNAcentral is "partial 16S ribosomal RNA". It matches the Rfam family "Bacterial small subunit ribosomal RNA", at positions 165 to 422 of the family's 1533-position model. The record is from RNAcentral.